CCUUAGAGUUUGAUCCUGGCUCAGAGCGAACGCUGGCGGCAGGCCUAACACAUGCAAGUCGAACGGACCCUUCGGGGUUAGUGGCGGACGGGUGAGUAACACGUGGGAACGUGCCUUUAGGUUCGGAAUAGCUCCUGGAAACGGGUGGUAAUGCCGAAUGUGCCCUUCGGGGGAAAGAUUUAUCGCCUUUAGAGCGGCCCGCGUCUGAUUAGCUUGUUGGUGGGGUAAUGGCCCACCAAGGCUACGAUCAGUAGCUGGUCUGAGAGGAUGACCAGCCACAUUGGGACUGAGACACGGCCCAAACUCCUACGGGAGGCAGCAGUGGGGAAUCUUGCGCAAUGGGCGAAAGCCUGACGCAGCCAUGCCGCGUGUAUGAUGAAGGUCUUAGGAUUGUAAAAUACUUUCACCGGUGAAGAUAAUGACUGUAGCCGGAGAAGAAGCCCCGGCUAACUUCGUGCCAGCAGCCGCGGUAAUACGAAGGGGGCUAGCGUUGCUCGGAAUUACUGGGCGUAAAGGGAGCGUAGGCGGACAUUUAAGUCAGAGGUGAAAUCCCGGAGCUCAACUCCGGAACUGCCUUUGAUACUGGGUGUCUUGAGUGUGAGAGAGGUAUGUGGAACUCCGAGUGUAGAGGUGAAAUUCGUAGAUAUUCGGAAGAACACCAGUGGCGAAGGCGACAUACUGGCUCAUUACUGACGCUGAGGCUCGAAAGCGUGGGGAGCAAACAGGAUUAGAUACCCUGGUAGUCCACGCCGUAAACGAUGAUUGCUAGUUGUCGGGGAGUUUACUUCUCGGUGACGCAGCUAACGCAUUAAGCAAUCCGCCUGGGGAGUACGGUCG
Molecule: ribosomal RNA, 837 nt
Filed under: uncultured bacterium
Lineage: Bacteria
Description: bacterial SSU rRNA
Rfam family: Bacterial small subunit ribosomal RNA
Source: RNAcentral